UAAAUCAUUCUGGGGAUGGGGAUGCUGUCACCGAAGAAGCACCUGCUAUAAACUACAUUUGACAGCCCCGCACUCUGCAGCAGACAGUUGGGUGGCUGAAGAGCAGUGCUGCCAUGCUGGGCGCCCCUGUGCUCCACUGCAGCGCCGCGACUGCGCUGCAUCCGCAGCCACAGCCAGCCAAGCAAGCACAGCUGCCAGCUGCCUGCUGGGACCAAGAGCCAGCCUGCUGACAACAAGCCCAGUAGUUUUCCUAAGCACUCUUGCCUUCCAAGAAGAAAGCUGGCCUUUACUCCCCCCUAGAAACAUCUCUCCUUCUCAGUGCUCAUUUUCAGCGUGUGCUUAAUCUGUCAUCGUCCUCUUGUCAAAGGAAAAGUGAGGGUUGCUUGACCUGACACAAAUCCUGUCUCUGGAACAGCAACGUGAACUGGCUGAAAGAAUCCCUGUCAAGAUGAGUUUUUUGAUAUCAUCCCAAUGUGAAUGCACCUGAUUAUUCUGAAAAUAUAAGGGAGAGCAUGCAUAUCAGGAAAGUGCUUGACAAUUCUGCCACAGAUUUAACUAUAGACGAGUAUUCAGUAUCUAACUGAAAAUCCACCUGAAAAUCACAUAAGUGGAAAAAUAAGAUAUGUGUAUGAAUGAAUUUUAGCAAUCACACUACUGUAUUAAUAGCAGACCAACACAGUUUCUCCACAAGCCUUUGCUUGGUGCACACACAGGGCAGCUAAGCUUCCACCCUGGGAACCACUGCACAUACACCCCAGCAAUCCCUGCCCUGCCAGGCCUCCCCAGCCCCAUUUCCAAAAUCACAUCAUUUUUCUCGAGAGCUCCUCUGCAGGAGAGAAAGCGCAGAGCCUGAAUGCUCAAAGUGGGGUAUAAACUGGCUUUUGUGUGUAUGCAUACGUGCGUAUGUAUGGAGGACACAUGGGAAAAACAGGCCCAUAUCUUUUCAUGAUAACAAAGAAGGAAAUAACUUCAGAUGAUUUUGUGUGCCCAGGUCCCAGAUAUGUUAAUUAUUAGAGGUAAAAACCAAGAAAUACAUCUUCAAGUAAAGUACUGUUAUCCAAGAUAUAUUUUGUAGGAAUUGCUGUAGCUACAUCUGUGAUGCUAUAUUUAUAUGCUAUGCUCUGGAAAUUCUUAUUUCUGUGGAGAAGAGGAAGAGAAUGAUGGAUGCUUUAAUAUAGUGAUAGUUUUCCCUUUUGUAUUCAUGAGUAGGCCUUGAAUUCUACUUCUGAGGUUUACAUCAUUAGAAUUCUACUUGACCUGAAUCUCCCUUGCAUAGUUUGAUUUUAUGACACCAUUAAGUUUAUUUAGCAAUGGAAUUACUUUCAUCCUAAUUACUUUUGCAGUCUGUGUUGUUUUCACAAAAUGAGACAUGGACUAGAAAGCAAAAAAUGUAACCAUAGAAGUCCUAAUAAUUUCCUAAUGUAUUAUUUCAUUAAUUCAUCAACUCUCCAGUGUGAGGCACGCUGGUGAACAGUGUAGGACCUGGCUGAAAAAAAAUCUGAGUUACAAGUUAUGGGACACAUUAACAAAGUUGGCAUUAAGAAUGCAAGAAUGCAAAAACUGCCCAGCAUCCAUGUAGGUUAAACUAUACUUUUUAUAGAAGAACUGAAAUAUUUUUAGGCUUUUUCCUACUUGUUUAAUUUUUCCCCAUCAGAACAUCUUCUUGAUGACUGUGUGAUUUUUGCAAAAAUGCAUUGCUUCAGUUACCUUUCUUUGUAUUUUCCUGACAUCCCUGAGCAAUAUUGGAUAUUUCCUUUGUGUUCAAUAUUUUAGUAUGAUGUUGACCCUGUGUUUUCUAACCUUGCCAAAUUUUCAUUUGUCUGUGUUUUCUUUUCUUACAAUUUUUUUUCCCUUCUUCUAGAACACAGGGAAAAUCUGGUCAAAUGAGCCAGUUGUUUUGCUUGGGCUAUUGACUCUGCUUCCUUUAGAGGACACAUUUAAAAUUUAUAUAAUAUUGGAUAAAUUUUUUCCUCAUUUCCUAUAUUUUAUGUGGGAACUUUUCUUUGGUCUGAAAAAGUAUUUUAUUGUUUUUAAAUUUCUGCUUCCUUGAAACAUAUUACACACUAUAUCAAAAGGGAAAGCAAAAAAAAAAAAAAAGACAGCAGUAAGUGAAAAAUGUAAGCCUCAGUCUAGAAAGAGAACCUGAAUUCAAGUAGUGAUUUUGCCUUAUCUCCUGGCUUUGCCAGUUUUGCUCUUUUAUGACCGAAGAAGCUAAGAUAGUAGAACAGCAUGUGUUUGUCUCUCAAACAUAAUGGAAUAGCCAUAGCAAUGGAAUUCCAUUCUAAUUUAAACUUUUUCUUUUAAACUGGUAACUAAAUGACCUUGGAAAAGCAAUAUCCAGGGAGCACUGGGAAUCUGGCUGUGCCAAAUUAACUGACCAAAUUAACUGCACUCAAGAGUUCCACUCUGAAACAUUUGAUUCUUCUUCCUACCUCCUUCACUCCUCCUGCCCCUGAUUUACCCUCUCUUAAACUUAUUUUAGCAAUUCAAUACCAUAGAGCAUCUGACAUAAACAAUUAUGCACAGAGAUGACAGGAAUUGUAUCUGAGAUUUUCUCCUCCCCUUUCUUUUUUAAAAUUUUUUUUGCACUCCUGCUGUUUUAAGUGUCUAGCAAAUGAUUAUUUCACUUUCUUGAAUUUCAAAAGGGAAUAGGAUAUAAUCUGAAUUCUAUUGUAUAUUGUUCUAUCAAGAAAAAUUCCAAUUUAUAGUUAAAUUUGGUGAAUGGCAGUAUAAAAUAAGAAAAAAAAUUAGAUAAGUUUAGAAAUUCUGAUUAAACUGGUUUUGUAAUGGCUUGCAUGUCAAGAGAGCAGAGUAAUAUUAGACUUACUCUUCUAUUUUUGGCUGUCUAGUUUCUAAAAAUAAAGAAAACUCUCUUGACA
Zonotrichia albicollis (white-throated sparrow) is the source of this 2879-nucleotide long non-coding RNA. The record is from Ensembl. Lineage: Eukaryota; Metazoa; Chordata; Aves; Passeriformes; Passerellidae.